CCUUCACACUAUCGUCGUAGCUGUGCUGGCUUUGUAAUUUGUUGCACUGAAAUAUUGCACACUUCUGUUCUAAAACCAGCAAGAAUUUGAGUGACGCUAGAAUGGCCUCUGUAAUGAACUGUUUUCAGUUAACUCAAAAUAUGAGUGAAGGUGUUAAGUAUUUCUUUGAGACCCAUGCCCACCUCAAGACCUCCCUCCAGGGGGCCUGUAUUUUCAGUUACUAUCUGUGCCCAGAAAAGUAAGCUGCCAUUCAAGGACAGCAGCCGUGUGGAGCAAGGUAGGGCUGGGCCCCUUGAAAAAAGAAACAAAACUCUCAAACUUCAGGGUGAGUAUAUUCCAAUUCGUAGCUUGCCCAGACCUGAGUUAGAAAAAAGUGAAUAAGCGCAGAAAAAAGAGAUUGUUACUGUGUCACAGCCUUCCAGUGAGACUCAUUUCCCUGUAACCUAUUCAGCUGGGAGGACAAGGCACCCUGGAGGGACGUUGCUCUCCAGAAGGGCCAGGAAGAGAGGAGGAGGGGGGACAGUGCGGUCCUCUGACAGGACGUGAGGCCCCCGGGAAAGGGGUGUGGCUGCACACCUGCGGAGCUGGGAGGGGCAACCCCAUCGCUGCCCCGGUCCUUCCAAUUUCCUACUUCCACGCUUUGUUUCCACCAAUGCCCAGAGCCGGAUGCCUGCACCCUGCCUCUCCCUGCCAUGGGCUCUGUGCUCCUCUGCUGUGUGGCCUUUGGUGUCUUGGGAACAGGCUCCAUGGAUUCUGGUGUGACCCAGACCCCAAGGAACAGGAUCACAAAGACAGGAAUGAGCGUUUCGCUGGAAUGUUCUCAGACUAAGCGUCAUGAUGCUAUGUUCUGGUAUCGAGAGGACCCCGGGCGCGGGCUCCGGCUGGUCUACUACUCCUUGGAUGUCAACGAUACCAACAGAGGAGAGGUCUCCAGCGGGUACAGCGUCUCCCGGUGGGAGCAGGCGAAAUUCUCCCUGCGCCUGGAGACUCCCACCCCCAACCAGACAGCGCUUUACUUCUGUGCCAGCAGUAAAUUGCACAGUGGUUCUUGGCCACCUGCUCUCACCACAGAAAGACAGGCACGUUUCCUCAGGAGGGCACGGAAGGCUUCCUAG
Manis pentadactyla (Chinese pangolin) is the source of this 1115-nucleotide non-coding RNA. NCBI's taxonomy places the organism in Eukaryota, Metazoa, Chordata, Mammalia, Pholidota, Manidae. The record is from the annotation of a RefSeq genome assembly.